This is a long non-coding RNA of Bos indicus x Bos taurus (hybrid cattle), 636 nucleotides long. The record is from Ensembl. Lineage: Eukaryota; Metazoa; Chordata; Mammalia; Artiodactyla; Bovidae.
GAAAGAGGCACAACUGAUGGAAGACACAUAUCCAUGCCCCAAAGAGGGAAGGGAUACAUUUCAGGACCAGGUGGAGAUUCAGGCUACCUAGAGAAAUCCCUGGAUGAUGCUCACCUGCUUUUGGAGGGUUCAGAAUCUGCCAGCCCUUCCCAGCCGAAUUUUCUGCAGCUUGAUGCUGGUGUCUCCCAGGAUCAGCCACAUGAUGUAAAGAAACAGAAGAGAAGAAUCAGAGGCAGAAGGACAGAUAUCUGUCGUGUGUUCAUCUCAGCAACUCACACCUCACUUCUGAGGCUAAACUCGGGCUUUCUGGCACGUGACCUAACCUGAUACCAUGCUCCUUGGAUGGACUGUUCAUUUCCUGCUGGAGACUUUAUGAUGCAGCUGUUAGUGAGACAAGGCGAUCCCAACAAUUGCUCUUCCGAAAGCUGGGUUCUUAGGUCCUGGGUUCUGUGGACCUGCAUUCUGGUGCUUGGGGUGUGUACAAGCUAAACAAAAAGUAUUACCAAGACAAGCACACCGUGCGUUGGUAACAUCUAUGUGAAAGGUGAGUCUGGGGGCUGUUGAUAAUUUCCUUGGAACCCAUGGUGCUUUGGAAAACAUUUUGGGAAGAAAUAAAUAAUAAGUUCUGCCACCUCA